This 70-nucleotide transfer RNA is filed under the name Camelus bactrianus (Bactrian camel). It matches the Rfam family "tRNA". Rfam says of the family: Transfer RNA (tRNA) molecules are approximately 80 nucleotides in length. The record is from Rfam by way of RNAcentral. Lineage: Eukaryota; Metazoa; Chordata; Mammalia; Artiodactyla; Camelidae. RNAcentral also lists the same sequence under 2 other names.
GAGGGUAUAGCUCAGUGGUAGAGUGUGUGCCUAGGAUGCACGAAGUCCUAGGUUCAAUCCCGGACCUCCA